This 258-nucleotide ribosomal RNA is filed under the name uncultured bacterium. RNAcentral's name for it is "partial 16S ribosomal RNA". It matches the Rfam family "Bacterial small subunit ribosomal RNA", at positions 359 to 636 of the family's 1533-position model. The record is from RNAcentral.
AUAUUAGUAAUGGGCGAAAGCCUGAACUAGCAACGCCGCGUGUGCGAAGAAGGCCUUCGGGUUGUAAAGCACUUUUUGAGAGGAUGAGGAAGGACGGUAUUCUCAGAAUAAGUCUCGGCUAACUACGUGCUAGCAGCCGCGGUAAUACGAAGGAGGAGAAAGUUAUCCGGAUUUACUGGGCGUAAAGCGCGUGUAGAUGGUUUGGUAAGUAGGGCGUGAAAGAUCAUGGCUCAACUGGGAGGGGCCGUUCUAAACUGC